RNAcentral lists this long non-coding RNA (589 nucleotides) under Anas platyrhynchos platyrhynchos (common mallard). RNAcentral describes it as "lncRNA (ENSAPLG00000025902.1)". The record is from RNAcentral. Lineage: Eukaryota; Metazoa; Chordata; Aves; Anseriformes; Anatidae.
AUGUCAAAAUCUAGCCUGAAUCUAAUAUAUCAGCAAAGACAACUCUAUUUAACAGUUGGCAUUGCUUUAAAACUCACCCACUUUUCACCAUUUUUCCCCCUUCUUUUUCCAGGAGCAACUCUUGCAGGAUGGGAAAUCCCUCACUGUGUUCAUAGUUGUUUGACUGUCUCACACAAUGUUCAGUUUGAAACAUCUCAGACCUGAUGUACUUCUUGCCAUUCAGAGGUAGGUUAUUCUAGGAAACUGUUUAUGAGAGGCAGCAGAAACCUCCCACAGGGACCAAACCACAGUGUUUGUUACUGUGUUGUGAGGGGGAUGAGGGGUGUCUAUUUUGAGAUUUUUGUCAUGCUUACAAAGAACAUCUUUUAGAGGAUAGCCUAAGUGGCUGUGAAGAUUGGGAUUCUGGCAUGCAAAUACAUCCUUAAGUUGUAAUGGUGCAUCCUAGCUGAAGAGUGAUUCCUUUGGAAAAGGAAUUGUAUCAUCAAAAAUGGACGUGAGAGUUCAGGCUAUAUUAAGGCUCUUCCAAUAAUCUAAAUAUUUGUAUUCCUUUGAGAAUAAACCUGAAAGUGUAACACUUGGUAGAACUGUA